Molecule: long non-coding RNA, 3108 nt
Organism: Lolium perenne
Lineage: Eukaryota; Viridiplantae; Streptophyta; Magnoliopsida; Poales; Poaceae
Source: RefSeq, a predicted model, not a curated record
UCCAAACAAUCUGGGCCGUUCAUCCAGCCGAAUCUAACGAUCAAAAACCGCCCAGUGUUGAGCACUCAACGCGUUGAGCACCGUCAGUCCGUCACAUAUCCGCUUGCUCCUGAUCCCCCACGUUCCCACGUCCAUAGCAGUUUUCGCCCGUUCUGUCCGGCCUGCUCGACCUUAUCCCCGCCCCCGUGCUGCCCGCCGCCAAACUGGCCGCCCUCACCAAACUAUCCAACGCCGCCGGAGGUCGACCUCCUCGGACGUAAGCCCCCUGUCCCGCUAGGAUGGCUCCUACGGAUGGGGAAUCGGAAGAAGGACGAGGAGACGCCCCGGCGGCGCGCUCUUGCGCACGAGGAGGCACUCGCAGGCGACAGCGACGGGCCGCAAAUAGUUCUUAAAGGCCGGUCGCGUCGUUCUUUGCAUGUUCGCUGUCGAGGACGGUUGGCCCAUCCUCAUGCUUUCUCCCCUGCCUUCUCCUUCCGCUCUCAGCUGCAAGAUGACUUUAUUCAGAGACGCGCUCAUGGCGUUGGACUAUACCAUAUGCGGAUGUGACUGCUCGGCUUCAAGGUUUCUCAGUGCAAAUCACAUGCACUCUACAUCCAUCCACUAUCCAAAUAUUUUAUUGCAAAUCCCAUUGCUCAUUUUACUUGAAUCAAAAUAUGUUUUCUUCUUUGUCAACAUAUUAUUUCACCAUUGUUUCAGUUAAUUCAUUGGUUGACAUUGCUAUUAUUUAUAGUACAGGCUUGGCAUGCUAAUUGUUUUUUAUUAAAGCAUUAUAUUAACCUGUGUGUUACAUGAGUUCAUUUUACUAUGUUGUAAUUGCCAUCCCAUGGUUAAAAACAUUAAUGUAAUGAUUAAAUUAUAUACAUAUAGAACUCUAUUGCAUUCUUCUAAUAUAUUUCAGCCUUUACUCUGAAUUUUAGAUAUGAGGAGCAAAUUCAAUUUUGCAAAGUUUUUUCUAGGUGUCUUAGAUCCUUAGGUAAUGUUGUCUUUGCCAUUCAAGUUUGAAAAGGGAUGUUGAAUGUGUGUGAAAAGUAAUGCCUCCGUGUCCCUAGGUACGCCUCUCCGCACACACAACCUUCUUAUCACAACGUCCGCAUACACAUAUAAUGAUCGCCGAUAAUUUACUUUAGUAUUCAGAAAGUAUAAACAUUGAAGGGUGCCUGGUUCAGAUAAAGUUUUAAACCAUAUAUGCCUUAUUUUUAUGUGUCCCAUCAAUUGUAGAUAUUGUACCAAAUUUUAUCUACGGAUUCAUAUUGCAGAAGCUUUAUGAUCCGGACUUGAGGGCGGGAGAUCCAUCAGAUCCCUGGGAAAGCUCAAUUGCUCUAUUUACCUUUUGCACCCUUGUUCCGAUCAUCGAUAGUUCCAUGUUUUCUUGUCAUUAUUGCCAUUUGUUCAACGUAGUGCAUCUCUAGAACAUGAUGAAGGGGUGCAUGCAUGGGGAGCUGGACAAGUUGUACAAUAGAGGUAGUCAAGGACGCAAGAUCUACCUUCUCCUCUGCUAUGGCGAAUAAUUUUCAGGGAAAGGGUCCAAAGACCCUAGAUGCUGCUAUUAAAAACUUGGCGGUGAGUACAAAUUACAUUCAGGUCCCUACAGAACAUGGGAAUUCUGGAUAAGGACUGAAAUUUUACAGCAAAGACCCUAAAAAGAUACUGGGAAAAGAAAUCAGGUCCUUGCAAGCCUGCACCGCAUCUGAUGGAGGUCACCGUCGAUUUGCUCCGCCACGGAACUGACACCGGCGCCGGGGACGAACCACUUGGUCCGGCGUCGUGGCAGGAGCGGCUGAUCUUCCCAUCGGACUGCUUGGUCUCUGGGAAGUAGAGGUUGAGGAGGGUCGCCUUUCGACCAUAGUAUACAGAGGCAGGGCGGUGUGAGCCGCCGGCUUCGGUCCUCCGCUGAAGAGCUCCAGUCGCAGCAGCAGCUCCCCGCCGACGCCAGCCACAGAUCUCAGGCAGGAGAUCUAGCAGCUAGCUCGCGGUAGCAUGAAUACCCUGACGUAGAUCUGCCAGCCAGAGCUUGUGCAAGAGCAGGAUCUCCACACCGCUCUCACCACCAUGGUGAGAAGCAUGCGGGAUCUCCAGAUCUUGAGCACAACCAUCCGAUCUGCAGAGAACAGCAACCAUGAUAUCGAAUCCGAGAUCCAGUGCCAUGGCCUCAAGCUUAUUGAAGGGCUGAGGGAGGGAGAGCUUGAGCAGCAGCCGUUGGCACCAUGCCGCAACCGCGUGCGAGAUAUGACGCCAGACUCCACUAGGGAAACAUACUCACGAUCUAGACUACUAUAUACAGAGGGCCGGGCUCCCCUCUCCCAGUCACUCCGGCCGGUGAAGCUGCCGGAGGAGAGAGAGAGAGGGGAGCCGGCGGAAGGUAGGAGACUCUCAAAGUAACUGUUCACAUGUGAGAGCGAGGAGGGGGGAAAUGAGCCGUUUAAGUUUUAAAUUAAGGAUGCGGCUAAUUCUUGGUCAACCUAGAAUUAACUUAAUUCUCGGCAACCAACGAAUGGUACUUACAGGUACUUACACAUCUUUUCUCCUAGUUGGUUGCCACCUGUAAGUACCAUUCGUUGGUUGCCACAUCUUAUUUUCGUGCUAUUUAUCAUUUAUUGCACCUGUUCCCCAUGAAGAGACAAAAUUAUCUUCAUUUGUUAUGGAAUCAUUUUCCAAUUCUUCAUAGAUGGAUGGUUUAAGAAUGUUUGAUUUUUAUUCUACAUCAAAUUAAGAAAUGCAACAAGUGCUUGUCGUAAUUUCCGUUGGUACCUUGUGAAGUUGUGAUGUGUUUAAUGAAGAAAACAAGUUUAGGGACAUAUUUCUAUGAAACAGUUAACACGUGUGGCCUUACUUGUUGUGUAUACAUCCUUGACAUCGGAAGCGCUUGUGCUACAAAAAGUAAGCACUUAAGCUACAUAUGCAGCACACUUACAAUUGUGAGAUUUUCUGAUGUUUUGGGUGGUACUAAAUGCAAUAGCUUUAAAACAAUGUCUGCACUGAACCGGAGUUGAGUUGAGAACUGUGAGAUUAUCUUACAUAAUUACAUAUAGAUGCAUAUAGAUUACUAUAUAUACAAUGUAAUUUAAAUUUCAAUUGAAGAUUAAAAAGUUGUGUUAAAAAAUGGAACGU